GACGGAAUAGUUCAGUUGGUAGAACAGUGGAAUCAUAAUCCAUAGGCCGUUGGUUCGAGUCCAUCUUCCGUCA
Molecule: transfer RNA, 73 nt
Filed under: Micractinium sp. LBA 32
Lineage: Eukaryota; Viridiplantae; Chlorophyta; Trebouxiophyceae; Chlorellales; Chlorellaceae
Description: tRNA-Met
Rfam family: tRNA
About the family: Transfer RNA (tRNA) molecules are approximately 80 nucleotides in length. Their secondary structure includes four short double-helical elements and three loops (D, anti-codon, and T loops).
Source: RNAcentral